AUACAUGGGAAAUAUACACUUAAAACAUAAAUGUGAAAUUAUUUUUUAGCAUUUUUAAUGUGUCAUAAAUCAUACAUUUUGAUUUCUUCCGGACAUAUUUCUACCUGUUAAUAAUGCACUAAUAUGCGAUUUAUAUAUAAAAAUGUAAAAGAUCUGAUGUGGUUCGGCUUUAGGAUAUAGUCAUCAAAAGUUGCUAUUUUAACACCAUAGCAAGCCAUAAUCGUGAAUAAUCAUCUCUGGGCCUAAUAACGUUGAAUUCGAAAACAUCUACAGUCAUGCAAUAUUCCCUGAAAAUGUCAAGCAUCUAGCAUGAAUUGUUCAAACAUAAUGACCCACCUGUGGUUCAGAAUAAUCUGUAAUAUCCAAUAUCUUACUUCAUAAAUAUCUUCAGGAGCAUCUUCCAUCAAGUAGUGAAGCAUUGCAGCCAGUUCCUCCCAGCCUAGUCACAGCUGAUGGGUUCUUCAUAAGACCAACAAGGCUGCAAUGCUUCACUACUUGAUGGAAGAUGGAGAGAUUGCAUUGUGGCGUGUCCCAACAGUACAUCAUACAGUAGGUGUUCCUGCAACAAGGAAGCUGAGUGACUUCAAACUCUUCCUUGCAACAAGACACAAUUCUGUAAACUGCUACUUGAGGUGUAGGUCAGCAAAGCAUCUGCAUCAUGGCUGGAAAAAUGUGGAACAGCAGUGGUAGUCGUUGAAGGGAAAAUCAUAUCAGUUGGAGUCAUCGGGUGGCAAUGUGACCACAUGUGAGAUACCUCAGGUGGAGUCAACCCAGGAACAGAUUGACACCCAGCUUGUUCUGCACCUGCUGUAUGCCGCUCAACUGGGGCACAAGGUGGCUGUGGUGAGGACUCCAGACACAGACAUUUUCUUCAUCCUCCUACACCACGCCUAAUCCGUCCCGCUGACCAUCUACGUCGACAUUGGGACCAGAAAGCACAGCCGGAUCCUAAAUAUCAGCGAACUGGCAGAAUAAAACUUGGUGAUCAGUGGUCUGUGGAGCCAGAUGUGGUGGAAGACAUCGAGGCAUUUAGAUUGUGUAAUGUAUGGCCAGGCCUGUGAAAUCUGUGAACAACGUGCGCAGCAUCAUGCUGAAAAAAAUGAUUGGAGAGGAUGAGAUGCUUACCACCAGAUCCAAGGUGGAUCUGUCCCCAGCUCCCGCACUGCAGAGACAACCUGGUCCCACACAUCAACCGUGUCAACCACCGUCUGGCCAUCUACAAGAGAGCAGCCACACCAACAUUCUGGUGUCCCAAGCCCCCUGAUCCUGGUCAAGGCUGGGAAAAGACUGAAGAGGGUACCCUGGAACCAGUGUGAUCUUGUGGACCUAUCCUCCCCACUUCACUCACUGACUUUCUGGAGGAAACAGUCGAGGAGAUGGAUGGAGAUGAGAUAGAUAGAUACUUUAUUGAUCCCCAAGGGGAAAUUCAGGGGGUCUCAGUAGCAU
Molecule: long non-coding RNA, 1446 nt
Organism: Alosa sapidissima (American shad)
Lineage: Eukaryota; Metazoa; Chordata; Actinopteri; Clupeiformes; Clupeidae
Exons: 3
Source: RefSeq, a predicted model, not a curated record